This 73-nucleotide transfer RNA is filed under the name Bos taurus (domestic cattle). It matches the Rfam family "tRNA". Rfam says of the family: Transfer RNA (tRNA) molecules are approximately 80 nucleotides in length. Their secondary structure includes four short double-helical elements and three loops (D, anti-codon, and T loops). The record is from Rfam by way of RNAcentral. Lineage: Eukaryota; Metazoa; Chordata; Mammalia; Artiodactyla; Bovidae.
UCCCUGAUAGUCCAGUGGCUAAGACUCGUCGCUCCUAAUGCUUGUGGCCUGGGUUCGAUCCCUGGUCAGGGAA